This 453-nucleotide ribosomal RNA is filed under the name uncultured Anoxybacillus sp. Its description in RNAcentral is "bacterial SSU rRNA". It matches the Rfam family "Bacterial small subunit ribosomal RNA", at positions 929 to 1382 of the family's 1533-position model. The record is from RNAcentral. Lineage: Bacteria; Bacillati; Bacillota; Bacilli; Caryophanales; Anoxybacillaceae.
GCGGUGGAGCAUGUGGUUAAUUCGAAGCAACGCGAAGAACCUUACCAGGUCUUGACAUCCCCUGACCAACCCGAGAGAUCGGCGUUCCCCUUCGGGGGACAGGGUGACAGGUGGUGCAUGGUUGUCGUCAGCUCGUGUCGUGAGAUGUUGGGUUAAGUCCCGCAACGAGCGCAACCCUCGACCUUAGUUGCCAGCAUUCAGUUGGGCACUCUAAGGUGACUGCCGGCUAAAAGUCGGAGGAAGGUGGGGAUGACGUCAAAUCAUCAUGCCCCUUAUGACCUGGGCUACACACGUGCUACAAUGGGCGGUACAAAGGGUCGCGAACCCGCGAGGGGGAGCCAAUCCCAAAAAGCCGCUCUCAGUUCGGAUUGCAGGCUGCAACUCGCCUGCAUGAAGCCGGAAUCGCUAGUAAUCGCGGAUCAGCAUGCCGCGGUGAAUACGUUCCCGGGCCUU